GCCAGUAUGGCUCAGUGGUUGAGCAUCGACCCAUUAAACCAAGAGGUCACUGGUUCAAUUCCAGUUCAGGGUA
This 73-nucleotide transfer RNA is filed under the name Myotis davidii. It matches the Rfam family "tRNA". From Rfam's summary of the family: Transfer RNA (tRNA) molecules are approximately 80 nucleotides in length. Their secondary structure includes four short double-helical elements and three loops (D, anti-codon, and T loops). Lineage: Eukaryota; Metazoa; Chordata; Mammalia; Chiroptera; Vespertilionidae. The record is from Rfam by way of RNAcentral.